Molecule: RNA transcript, 8535 nt
Organism: Canis lupus familiaris (dog)
Lineage: Eukaryota; Metazoa; Chordata; Mammalia; Carnivora; Canidae
Gene: KIF21B
Gene name: kinesin family member 21B
Exons: 36
Source: RefSeq, a predicted model, not a curated record
GCCGCAGCCGCAGCCGCAGCCGCAGCCGCACCCCGGGGCUCGGGCCCCCGGGCCCCCGCCCCUGAUCCACGCGCGGACCCCGCAGCCAGAGGACCAUGGCCGGCCAGGGGGACUGCUGCGUCAAGGUGGCCGUCAGGAUUCGGCCCCAACUGUCAAAGGAGAAGAUUGAGGGCUGUCACAUCUGCACCUCUGUCACCCCCGGGGAGCCCCAGGUCCUUCUGGGGAAGGACAAGGCCUUCACCUAUGACUUUGUCUUCGACCUGGACACCUGGCAGGAACAGAUCUACUCGACCUGCGUGAGCAAGCUCAUCGAGGGCUGCUUCGAGGGCUACAAUGCCACAGUGCUGGCCUACGGACAGACAGGGGCCGGGAAGACAUACACCAUGGGCACCGGCUUCGACACGGCGACGUCAGAGGAGGAGCAGGGCAUCAUUCCCAGGGCCAUCGCACACCUCUUUGGGGGCAUUGCUGAGCGCAAGCGGCGGGCACAGGAGCAGGGUGUGGCUGGGCCUGAGUUCAAAGUCAGCGCUCAGUUCCUAGAGCUCUACAAUGAGGAGAUCCUUGACCUGUUCGAUAGCACCCGUGACCCUGAUGCCCGCCACCGCAGGUCCAACAUCAAGAUCCACGAGGAUGGCAAUGGUGGCAUCUACACCACAGGUGUCACCUCCCGCCUCAUCAAUUCCCAGGAGGAGCUGAUCCAGUGCCUGAAGCAGGGGGCCCUGUCCCGCACCACGGCCAGCACCCAGAUGAACGUGCAGAGCUCCCGCUCACACGCCAUCUUCACCAUCCAUGUGUGCCAGAUGCGCGUGUGCACCCAGCCCGAGCCAGUGAAUGAGGCAGUGACUGGGCUUCCUGAGGGCACCGCUCCCACCAGUGAGUAUGAGACACUCACCGCCAAGUUUCACUUCGUGGACCUGGCUGGCUCCGAGCGGCUGAAGCGGACGGGGGCCACCGGCGAGCGGGCCAAGGAGGGCAUCUCCAUCAACUGCGGCCUGCUGGCCUUGGGCAACGUGAUCAGCGCCCUGGGGGACCAGAGCAAGAAGGUGGUCCACGUGCCCUACAGGGACUCCAAGCUCACUCGGCUCCUCCAGGACUCGCUGGGGGGCAACAGCCAGACCAUCAUGAUCGCCUGCGUGAGCCCCUCCGACCGGGACUUCAUGGAGACGCUCAACACGCUCAAGUAUGCCAACCGGGCCCGCAACAUCAAGAACAAGGUGGUGGUGAACCAGGACAAGACGAGCCAGCAGAUCAGCGCGCUGCGGGCCGAGAUCGCGCGCCUGCAGAUGGAGCUGAUGGAGUACAAGGCGGGCAAGAGGGUGAUCGGGGAGGAUGGUGCCGAGGGCUACAGCGACCUGUUCCGGGAGAAUGCCAUGCUGCAGAAGGAGAACGGGGCGCUGCGCCUGCGGGUGAAGGCCAUGCAGGAGGCCAUUGACGCCAUCAACAACCGCGUCACUCAUCUCAUGAGCCAGGAAGCCAACCUGCUCCUGGCCAAGGCCGGUGAUGGCAACGAAGCCAUUGGCGCUCUGAUCCAGAACUACAUCCGGGAGAUCGAGGAGCUGCGGACGAAGCUCCUGGAGAGCGAGGCCAUGAAUGAGUCCCUGCGCCGCAGCCUGUCCCGGGCCUCGGCGCGGAGCCCCUACUCCCUGGGCGCGUCUCCGGCUGCCGCGGCCUUCGGGGGCAGCCCGGCCAGCUCCAUGGAGGACGCCUCGGACGUGAUCCGCCGGGCCAAGCAGGACCUGGAGCGGCUCAAGAAGAAGGAGGUCAGGCAGCGGAGAAAGAGCCCCGAGAAGGAGGCCUUCAAAAAGAGGGCGAAACUGCAACAGGAAAACAGUGAGGAGACGGACGAGAACGAGGCUGAGGAGGAGGAGGAGGAGCGAGACGAGAGUGGCUGUGAGGAGGAGGAGGGGCGUGAGGACGAAGACGAGGACUCGGGCAGUGAGGAGAGCCUGGUGGACUCGGACUCGGACCCUGACGAGAAGGAGGUGAACUUCCAGGCAGACCUGGCCGACCUGACGUGCGAGAUCGAGAUCAAGCAGAAGCUGAUUGAUGAGCUGGAGAACAGCCAGCGGCGGCUGCAGACUCUCAAACACCAGUAUGAGGAGAAGCUGAUCCUGCUGCAGAACAAGAUCCGAGACACGCAGCUGGAGCGCGACCGGGUGCUGCAGAACCUCAGCACCAUGGAGUGCUACACGGAGGAGAAGGCCAACAAGAUCAAGGCGGAUUACGAGAAGCGCUUGCGGGAGAUGAAUCGGGACCUGCAGAAGCUGCAGGCUGCGCAGAAGGAGCACGCGAGGCUGCUCAAAAACCAGUCCCGCUACGAGAGGGAGCUGAAGAAGUUGCAGGCCGAGGUGGCCGAGAUGAAGAAGGCCAAGGUGGCCCUGAUGAAGCAGAUGCGUGAGGAGCAGCAGCGACGGCGGCUGGUGGAGACCAAGAGGAACCGGGAGAUUGCUCAGCUCAAGAAGGAACAGCGGCGACAGGAGUUCCAGAUCCGAGCCUUGGAGUCCCAGAAACGGCAGCAGGAAAUGGUCCUGAGGAGGAAGACCCAGGAGGUCUCAGCGCUGAGGCGCCUGGCCAAGCCCAUGUCCGAGCGGGUGGCCGGGCGAACGGGACGGAAGCCACCCAUGCUGGACUCCGGGGCCGAGGUGUCGGCCAGUACCACCUCCUCUGAGGCCGAAUCAGGGGCCCGCUCUGUCUCCAGCAUCGUGCGCCAGUGGAACCGCAAAAUCAACCACUUCCUGGGGGACCACCCUGCGCCUGCUGUCAACGGCACCCGUCCUGCCAGAAAGAAGUUCCAGAAGAAGGGGGCGAGCCAGAGCUUCAGUAAGGCUGCAAGGCUCAAGUGGCAGUCCCUGGAGCGGAGGAUCAUUGACAUCGUCAUGCAGAGGAUGACCAUCGUCAACCUAGAGGCUGACAUGGAGCGGCUCAUCAAGAAAAGGGAGGAGCUGUUCCUCCUGCAGGAGGCGCUGCGGAGGAAGCGGGAGCGGCUGCAGGCCGAGAGCCCGGAGGAGGAGAAGGGGCUGCAGGAGCUGGCAGAGGAGAUCGAGGUGCUGGCGGCCAACAUAGACUAUAUCAACGACAGCAUCACCGACUGCCAGGCCACCAUCGUGCAGCUGGAGGAGACCAAGGAGGAGCUGGACUCCACGGACACAUCAGUGGUCAUCAGCUCCUGCUCCCUGGCCGAAGCCCGCCUCCUGCUGGACAACUUCCUCAAGGCAUCCAUCGACAAGGGGCUACAAGUGGCACAGAAGGAGGCCCAGAUCCGGCUGCUGGAGGGGCGGCUGAGGCAGACAGACAUAGCGGGUUCCUCCCAGAACCACCUGCUCCUGGAUGCCCUGCGAGAGAAGGCGGAGGCACACCCUGAGCUGCAGGCCCUCAUCUACAACGUGCAGCAGGAGAAUGGCUAUGCCAGCACCGAUGAGGAGAUCUCCGAGUUCUCCGAGGGGAGCUUCUCCCAGUCCUUCACCAUGAAAGGUUCCACCAGCCAUGACGACUUCAAGCUCAAGGGUGAGCCCAAGCUGUCUGCCCAAAUGAAGGCCGUGUCGGCCGAGUGCCUGGGUCCCCCGCUGGAUAUCUCCACCAAGAACAUCACCAAGUCCCUGGCCUCCCUUGUUGAGAUCAAAGAAGACGGAGUGGGCUUCUCCGUCCGAGACCCCUACUACCGGGACAAGGUCUCGCGUACCAUCAGCCUGCCCACGAGGGGCAGUACCUUCCCCCGGCAGUCUCGAGGCACGGAGACAUCCCCUCUGACCCGAAGGAAGUCGUAUGACCGAGGGCAGCCCAUUAGGUCCACCGACGGGUUCACGCCCCCUUCAUCCCCUCCUACCCGGCCCCGCAACGACCGCAACGUCUUCUCUCGUCUCACCAGUAAUCAGAGCCAGGGGUCAGCACUGGACAAGUCUGAUGACAGCGACUCCUCUUUGUCGGAGGUCCUGAGGGGCAUCAUCACCCCCGUCGGAGGAGCCAAGGGUGCGAGGACGGCCCCGCUGCAGUGCGUCUCCAUGGCCGAGGGCCACACCAAGCCCAUCCUCUGCCUGGACGCCACGGAUGAGCUGCUGUUCACGGGAUCCAAAGACCGCAGCUGUAAGAUGUGGAACUUGGUCACGGGCCAGGAGAUCGCGGCCCUCAAGGGCCACCCCAACAACGUGGUGUCCAUCAAGUACUGCAGCCACUCGGGGCUUGUGUUCUCUGUGUCGACCUCCUACAUCAAGGUGUGGGACAUCCGGGACUCGGCCAAGUGCAUUCGGACCCUCACGUCGUCGGGCCAGGUGAGCUCCGGGGACGCCUGUGCGGCCACGUCCACACGCGCCAUCACCAGCGCCCAGGGCGAGCACCAGAUCAACCAGAUCGCCCUGAGCCCUUCGGGCACCAUGCUGUACGCCGCCUCGGGCAACGCCGUCCGCAUCUGGGAGCUCAGCAGGUUCCAGCCGGUGGGCAAGCUGACUGGCCACAUCGGCCCUGUGAUGUGCCUGACGGUCACCCAAACCGCCAGCCAGCACGACCUGGUGGUGACCGGCUCCAAGGACCACUACGUCAAGAUGUUCGAGUUGGGGGAGUGUGUGACGGGCACCAUAGGGCCCACCCACAACUUCGAGCCCCCGCACUACGAUGGCAUCGAGUGUCUGGCUAUCCAGGGAGACAUCCUGUUCAGUGGCUCCCGGGACAAUGGCAUCAAGAAGUGGGACCUGGAGCAGCAGGAGCUCAUCCAGCAAAUCCCCAAUGCGCACAAGGACUGGGUGUGCGCCCUGGCCUUUGUCCCCGGCCGCCCCAUGCUGCUGAGCGCCUGCCGCGCGGGCGUCAUCAAGGUCUGGAACGUGGAUAACUUCACGCCCAUCGGCGAGAUCAGGGGCCACGACAGCCCCAUCAACGCCAUCUGCACCAACGCCAAGCACAUCUUCACCGCCUCCAGUGACUGCCGGGUAAAGGUGUGGAAUUACGUCCCCGGACUCACCCCCUGCCUUCCUCGCCGAGUCCUGGCCAUAAAGGGCCGAGCCACCACCCUGCCCUGACCCCCCUCCCGUCUCCUCUGUCAUCCUCCCCUCUUUCCUCUUCCCUCUCUUUCUCCGCCUCGGUCUGAGCUGCUUCUCAACGUGACCUGACGGUGAAGUUCUGGAGCGUACGGCGGUUGCCCGGUGGCCCACCCUAGGAGCACACAGCAGUCCUCACCCUGGCUGUCUUUCGAGGAUGGCCCCCAGACCCUCGGCCCCCCCGGAGCCUGGACAGCACAGAAGGGGAGCUGUGGUCUGACAGGGCCCCCAGCCCUGGGGACACAGGGUGUGGGCAUCGGCGAGGCCGCUCUCCUGCUCCGGCCUCUCCCCUGACCUUCCUACGGGAUGCUCUUCCCCUGGGCCCUCCCCUGCCUCUUGGGGAGAGAAGGAGGUUGGGGAGGAAUUUAAGCUGUGAAGCCAAAGGGCAUUCAUUCCCCCUCUCAUUUCUCUCCCCGCAGCCCCCCGGGGCUCCCCUCACCGUCCCUCUGGCCACAUUUUCUCCUGCGUCCUUAAGCCUCUGGCCCAGGGCUGGGGACCCAUAGGGGAGGGGAGGCAGCCCAGCACCUGCUAUGCCCCUCCCGACAGGAACAGGUCUCCCCCUACAUCCCCUCGUCCAGCCUCUGGAGCCACUGCACCUGCCUCUGAGCCCAAAACGAUAGUCCUCAGGUAACCACGGAAACCAGGUGUAGGCAGCUGGGCCCUGCAGCUGACCCUUAGCCCCUUGGCCACCAACAGCCACCCCCAGUUGACCCCGGCAACUCCUUGGGGUCCCUUUCUGAUGGGGCCAAGGUUGAGCUGCUAAAAAAAAUUCCUUUGGGGAGAUGGUCAGAAACACUUCAGCUAUUUAAUUUAUUAUUAUUAUUUUUUUAAUUUUUGGUUUUUGCUGUUGCCUCCUGGAAACUGACUUGAAGUUUCUCCCCGGAUGUUCUUUCCCUCAGCACUCGCGGGGGGCUGGGGGGGCCGGGAGUCCCAAAGGGAACCGCCCUGCCAGCCCUCCGGGGCCCCCUCCUCUGUUGGCUUCGCAGCUCGGGCCUCCCCAGCCCUGCCCCCAGGGACCGUCCCGCUGCCCCCCGACCUCUCGGCCGCCUGACGCUUCAGUGCCUUCGUCCACCCCGGGCCGGGCAGCCUUACAGCAGCCGUGCCCGCGGCACCACAUGUGCCCGCUGCCCCUUGGAGGCGGGAGAGCUGCACCCCGGGGCCCGGGGCGAACCCCCUCCCGAGUCCUGUUGGGGCCACGUAGGAAGCAGCUCAGAGGAUCGAGUCUACCGGGAGGUGGCUGGGACGGUGCGGACGGCCCAGCCUCCCCCCGGCUCCCCUGGAUGAUCAGCCCCGACAGAGCAGGGGUCCUUCCGGCCACUUUCUCUCUGGUUAUUCAGGAGACACAUUUUCAAGCCUUAAAGCUGGCACGGGGCCGCGGGCCCUCCCCGCCGGAUGGCGGUGACGAAGGAGUCCCUGGAGUUUCCUUUCGCUUGGGGCGCAGGCCUCGGCCCGGGGUGCGGGGAGAGCCGCCUGCCCGUGCCCCCUGUUGGGGCAAUUCUGCAUUCACAGGCCAGGCCUCGGGAGGAGUCUCGGGGCCCCCCGCCCCGCCCCACCCAGUGUUCUCCCAGCCCUUGCCCGCCCUUGUGCUUCCUGUCCCCGUCCCGUCCCCGUCCCGUCCCCGUCCGGCGGGCCAGGAGCCCACCUCUGUUCUGAGACGUGCAGUGACUUGGGGGCCUUCGGGAGGUAGCUCUGUGUGUCCUCCGUGCCUGUCCCUGCUGGGCCCGGCAGGGAGCCCCCACCCCACCCCCGGCUCGGAGCUGCCCCCGAGGCUGAGAACGCUGUGCUGUGGCCCCUGGCACCCGGCGGUGGAGUCGGACCAGCCUGGAGGCCUGGCCUCCUGCACCCGGGGACAGUCGCCUGCGCCGGCCAGUCCACCUCCCAGCCCCGCGGGGUGCUCGCCACUCCUCGGCCCCCGAGGGAGCAGCCGCCUCGCCCCCGCCCCCCCCCCCCCGUAAGACAGACGCCGUGUGCGUGACUGUUCACAGACUGCGAGACCCAGGACGCGGCGGCCGGGCCCCCGGGGGUCGCACAGCGAUGCCAGCGAGAGGUGCCCGGCCUGCGGGAGGUCCGACGGGGCAGCUACCUCACGGCGGGCCGGCUCCGCUGUCCGGGCCACUACCUUGGACUCUGAACUUGAAGUCCCUCGGGAGCCCCGAGCUCUUCCGGAAGCUGCGCUCCAGGAGCCCGGCGCCCCUGCGUCCUGCGCCGGGGACGGGACAGGGACGCCCAGGGACACGGUGAGGGGGCGGGCCCCCGGCAUCCUCAAGGUCGGAAGCACAAAACGGUUGUGAUUCGAGCACAGACGGCAAGGCCGCGGCGGUGGUGGUGGCGGGUGGCGGGGCCGGGCUGGUCCCACCGGGCACCCCCGCUCUGGGGAGGCGGCUCCUCACACGGACCCGGCCCAGCAUGGCCUGUCCUGCGCCCGCGGCUCGUCGUCUUUGGCUUUUUGCCCAUCGGCGACUUGCGUGUGGCCCGCGCCGUCGGCACACCCCAGCCGGCAGGUGCCUCGGCCGGGCCCUGGGCUGUGAUCGCGUCCCCGAGGUGGCACCUGCCGCAGCCUGGGCAUCGCCAAGGAGAGGCAUGCCCAGGCCUUGAGGUGGCCCGUGUGCCCCGUCCAGGCCCUCGGGAGGGACCCCGUGGCUCCGGGAGCCAUCUGGACGGUGGCUUCAGCCUGGGGUGGCGGGGUGGCCCCGGUUGGGUGGCCCUGCUGCCUCCCCGGGGCGGUGUCGCCGGGCGGAGGGCCGUUGAAGCACAAAACCACCGCAGAGGGCAGACUGUCGCUGCGGCUCUCACGCCCCCCCCCCCAGGGUGGUGGCCACGUAGGCAGCCGCCGCUGGGAUUCAGGGAGGCCCCGCUCUCUUCCCGCCCAUUGGGGCACCCCCCCCCCGGCUGCGGGCCCCAGCCUGCGCCCGGGGUGCUGCUGCGGGCAGGGCCUGCCCCGCGAGAGCAGCGAGUCGCCUCCCCCGAGUGGCCCCGCCGCGGCCCGUUUGCCGACCCAGACAGGAAGCCGCCCGGCGGCCCGGCCCAGGCUGUGGCCCCACAGGCCUCCCGGGCCUGGCCUUGCCCUCGGGCUCCUGAGCCCCCAGCCCUCCUACGCCCAGGACAGAACCUACGAGGACAGCUCUGUUUCCCGGGGCGUCCUCGUCCCCCUCCCUCGCCCAGCCCAGCGCCCCGGUGGGCACCCAGGCCUCAUCCCGAGGGCUUUGCAGGGAAGUAGGAACAACUCCAAGAGGAGCCGACAGUCAGAGAAGACCCCCGAAGUGAAUCAGGGCCCUGCCCUGCCACCAGCUCUUUUCUAGGGGUCACCCCCUGCCCAGGCUGCAGGGUCUCACCCGGCUGACGCCCUCCUCGCUACGCGGCUAGCACAAGUUGUAUAUAUGUUUUGUACCUCUGCUGAUGACUGUACAUAGUGUACGAAAGUUAUUUAAGCCUCAUGCUGUACAUUUCUGUUCCUAGACCGGAUGUGUGUGUGUUCUAAGUUGUCCUAAAUAAAACCCGAAUGACCACCGUG